GAAUGCGCAGCCGCAGAAGCUUCUAUUCUGUCGGAUCUUUUUUGGUCCCAGAGGAGAUGGGAUGGAAGCAUCUUUCUUAUUUCUACAAAGUCGGCAGCGCCAGUCCUCUGUCCCGGAGGAGGCCUCCGUGAUGCUCAAGGAUGUGGCCAUAGAGGAGUAGAGGCUCCUGGACCCUCCCCAGAAGGAGCUGCUCUGGGAGGUGAUGCUGGAGAACUACAAGAACCUGGUCUGCCUGGGUGAGGAGGGCUCUCUGGGGCCUGGGUUCUGCCCAUGGAAGGGGAUCUGCUUCCUCGCACCAGGGGCCAUGUUUAAUGGUCAGCAUUGAGUCGUUGACCUUUAAAACAAAAAUACCAAAGCAUUUGUUUAUCACAGUGAGGCCAUGAGUCAGGGUGCCUGUGCUCCCUGGUCCCAGCUGACAGGCUCUGGAAACCACUGCUACACUGUGUGAUCCCACCCUAGCUCUCUGUUCCCUUGGGUCAGAGGUACUUAGGAAAGUCCCAGGGCAGUAUCUGAAGCCAGGAUGUCCCUGAGGUCUCAUGAACCCACUGUCUUUCUGAAGCCAUCUCCCUUUUGUGUCCCAUGGGAUCUCCUACCUCCACUCCUCCCAGCUUCUCUUCCUCUCUCCUUGCCUCAGUUAGCUUGUCUCUAAAGUAGGGUAAAUGUUCUUUGCUCCUUCCUUAGGGAUUCACUGAGGCUGGGUAACUUGCCCCUUUCUUGCGUUUCUCCCCUCAUUUUCCCUCCUUUCUUCUUCCCCACCCCUAUAUCCUAGGCUCCUUUUCCCUUCUUAUCUCACCUUUCCUUUGCUUUCUCUCCCCUCUCAUCUCUGCCUCCUGCUCCCCAAGCACCCUGUUCUGACAUGGAUUUCCCCAUGGACUCCCCCAUUUCUCUUUUGACUCCUUUCACCUUCAUCUUCCCACCUCCUGCCCUGCUGCAUUUCUGGGUCUUGUUCCUCCUGGGAAAAGAGCCUCAGGCCUCCCCUCUCUAUCCUUCCCACUAUUCCCAGCCCAGGACCCCCUCUUCUUCCUCUUCCUCUUCCUCCAGCUGUCCCUGCUCACUCCUUCCUCAACGGCCCUGACAUUUUGCAGAGCUGCUACUGGGCCUUUCUUUAUCUUUAACAUCUCUAGUACCUAGAACACAGUGUGACACACAGUUGGCAUUUCCUAAAUACUGGCUGAACUGACCCGGGUCCUGGAAACACUCCCUCUGGUGUCCUUUUGAGUGGGAAGAACUGGAGGCAUUCCCAAGGCAUAGGGAGGUCUGGGAGCUACAAGGAAGGGCCUAGUGCUCCUAUGGGUCUCUUUUUCUUUCUAGCACGACUUUCUCAGACCCCAUAGGAGUGGGAGCAGACCAGAGCAGGAAACACGGAGAGGUAGGGGAAGGGCCCCCAAGUUCCUCCCUCUAGGCCCCCCCAGGUAAGCAACUUCAUCCUCUUUCCUGAAAUGGUGUCCCAGGUCAUAUAGACAAGGUCUUCUCUCUCCAGUGCUCUCUGUCAAGUAGGGUCACUCUUCUGCCUUGGAACCUUCGUAGUAUUGAUUCUGUGGCAGAAGGUAAGGGUUAAAGAAACAAAGACAGACCUUGAUAAUGAUCGGUCUCAUCACUUCCUGGAAAAGAGGAAGAAGAAGUGGAAGCAAGGUCAGAUGUUAUAUUCUUGGGAACUGUGGCAUUUAAAAAUCAGUUUUGCUGCUAGAAGUAUUAUAUUUUAUGAGGUUUAUUAAAGAUUAAGAAUUUAAGAAAAUACAAGUAAGAAAGCACAUGCCUAGGAGGGCCGAAAGGCCCAUUUAAUUUCACUUACAUCAUGAGAGACCCGUCUGCUUGGAAGAGGAAGUAGGAAAAGAGCUCAGUAGGCUUUUAUAGCCAGUUAAAUAGAAAUUUUGAUCUUGCGCAGGUGGGAACUCAGGUGAGACUAGAGGGCAUCCUGGGAACUAGAGCAAGGACUUCUGGGAAUUGAGAUCCGGGUUCAAAUCUCCAUUUUUACAGCUUUGUUAACUUGGAAAAAACCACAGAAUUAUUAAAUAGUCAGGAAAACCAAGUCUUUAAUUAGGAGACAGAUAGUGUCCGCUAUUUGGCCCCCACCGGUAUUUCUGAGAGGAGAGCUAUACUAGGUAAUAGCUCCAAAGAAGGGCAGAACUUGGGGGUAUUUUAUACCCUCUGGAGAACUUGGUACAACAAGCAGGCAUAGACAAACUACAAGCAGGCUGCCAAGAAGUCUGCAGCCAGCCUGGGGUGAUCAAGAAGUGAUCAACUAUAAGAAUUACAAAGGAAAGGGUCAAAAUAAGAACUGGGCUCCUGGAGAGGGGACUUUAAUACAAUGGGAGAAGCUUGACUAUGGUCACUAGUCCCACCCAAACUAAGGUCCCCAAACAGUUGUAAGAAUUAAAAUUGGUUUGACUCAACAUGAGAGUUACAAAAGUGAGAUUGUGGUCGCCAUUUAUAAAAUAUUAGCCCUUAAGUAAAAAAUGAUGGUUAGCAGCUUUUAUUUACAACAAGGUAGAGAUAUUGAAAGUGGGAAAUGUAGGAAGGAGACAGAGCCUUGUCUAGCCUCCCUCCCUAAGUGCUGCUCCAGUGAAGUCUGGCUCAGCCCCCGGCAGGGGCUCUUUCAAGUCCAGAUCUCCACGUGGAAGUCCCCAUGGUGUCAUUAGCCAGGAGUCCACCAACACAAGGCUCUUCCUUCAGCCUGAGUCACUCACACAGCAUGGCUCUCCAGAGCAGAAAGCUCCAGUCCAGAACAAUUGCAGGAGAGGGUGACUGCCUCCAAGAAUCUCACGAGCGCUCACACUGAAGAGAGUUUCCCACCAAAGCACCAACCAAGAAAGGGUUUUCUCACCAAAGAACCAAGGAAGCAAAGAGAGAAUCUUGUCCUUCAGUCUUGCCUUUUAUAGUCCUUUUCCUAAGUCACUUCCUGUCUCUCUCCGACUUCACAGGAACCAAUCACAGCCUCCCAGUUUGCCUAUGUUAUGAUUAUAAUGGGAAAUGGAGAUAGGAUGGGUAGGAGCAGGGAUGGAGGAGGUGAAGGGAUAGUAGGGUUAGUGUGGUGGAGGAGAAAGAAUCACUGGGGUUGAGAGAUGGUCUGGGUAAUUCUCUCCUUUCCUCACACUUCAAACACACAAGAGAAGUACCCCUGAGUUGAUGUUGUGGCAAGGAUGAACAGGGGCUGUGUCUCAGUAAGUAGGCUUCUGGGGCACUUUGGAGUUCACUUGUCCUCAGGACUUGUGCCUGAGCCCCUAAAAGCCCCACUUGUCAGGCAGGCUGAACAUCCCUGUUUGUUCUUUUGUUGUUUAACAAGGCUAAAUGGUCAGCCUACCCCAAUACCCUCCCUUUUCUCCUAACUCUCUUCCUCAACUUCUGUAACGAUUUAGAUCUGACUGUGGGUUUCUUCAGAACAAAGGUGGUUUAAUAGUUCAGGUAACAGAAGUGGGGGGGAUAGGUCAGUGGGAAUAGGAAUCCCUACAGGUUGUCACUUCCUUCUUCAACCCAACCAAAUGGAUCAGGCUUCAGCUUCUCUUUUCCUCCUUCCUCUCUAAUCACUUCACUAUCCUACUCUAAACAGGUCAACAGUGUCCUUCUUGGGAAGGUAUUGGGAUGGGAUGGGUCUUUGGGGUGACCCCCAUGAAGUUCAAGGAAUCAGUUUCCUUCAGCAGCAGUUGUUCUUUUGUUUUCUUUAAUCAGUGAUUCAAAGGUGUCAGGGAUCUUCUGUCUUCAGGCAAGGGGAAAUGGAGGCAAGACUCUGGCACUACAGGUUGGGGUCUCGAGCUCUUGUCCUUAGCCCCUGUCUCUAAAGAGUUCACAAGGCAAAGACCCCUUUCCAAACUCAAUCCCACAAGCCCUUUCUGCUCCUCCAAAUGCCACUCCCCCUCAUGCCAACAUUUUAAAAAUGGUUCCUCAGUCUCAGUUUCCCUUUCCACACCUAGCACUGACCUGAACUUAUGAAAUAGCCAUCCCUACUUUGAUCACCUGCCCUAAGUCUCUCCCCACUCCAUUCUAUCCUGCACUGGCACUAAAGUGAUUUUUCCAUAGCACAGAUCUGACUGUGCCCCACUCAGUGCCCCUCAGGAACUUCCAGUGGCUCCCUGUUCCCUCUAAGAUCAAACAGAAAAUACUUUAUUUGGUCUUUAAUGCUCUACAUGCAGACGCUUCCUCCCUUUGCCAUGGCUUUGUGCGUUCAACUCAGUGGGAUCCAGCCAGACUUAGACAUGAUUCUCCAUCUCUUCCCUGCUAGGAAUGCUUGUCUCUCCUCACCUUCCCCUCUUGGAGUUACUCAUUCCUUAUUAUUUCAAGAUUCAGCUGAAGCCCAACCUUUUACAGAAACCCACUUCUGCCCCCUUGACUGCUAGUGCCUUGCAGGCCCCAAUGAAGACUGGUUUGGCUUUUUCUUGGGGUCCCCAUCCAGUUCCUCAGUGCUUGGCAUGUGUUCUCACAAGUGCCCGUUACUGGGUUCUGCUGCCUUUGGGAGAUGUCCAAAGGGGAGCCUGAGUUGUUGACUGGGAGGCAGCAUGGUCUGCUGGGAAGGGCUGUGGAUAGGCCUGGAGACAAGGGGGGGACAGCUCUGACCCUAUCUGCGUAACCAUGAGAAAUCCCCCCAGCCUUCCUGAGCCUCAGUUUGCUCAUAGGGACAAGGAGCACUUGCCUUCCCAGGGAGGUGGUAAAGAAAGUGUUGGCCAGACCUUAGCUAUCACCAGUUAUGUGCGUGUCAUCUCCCUCUUAGACUGCAAGCUCCUUGAUGCCAGGCUCUGUGUUGGCCCGCCCUUUUUGGUGUUGGGGCCAGACCUGAUUUGGAAGGAAACUAAGAGGGAUGGACAUAAAGUCCAAAGUGGUUCUAGUUGAAGGACAUUCUCUCCAGUGCACUGGAUUGUAGAGGGGAAGAUAUCAAAACUUCUUUAUUUUCUAUAUUAUCUCAAUAAAUAUCAUUUUAUAGAAA
This is a non-coding RNA of Monodelphis domestica (gray short-tailed opossum), 4915 nucleotides long. The record is from RefSeq and is a predicted model, not a curated record. NCBI's taxonomy places the organism in Eukaryota, Metazoa, Chordata, Mammalia, Didelphimorphia, Didelphidae.